This 850-nucleotide ribosomal RNA is filed under the name uncultured Actinomycetes bacterium. RNAcentral describes it as "bacterial SSU rRNA". It matches the Rfam family "Bacterial small subunit ribosomal RNA", at positions 8 to 919 of the family's 1533-position model. The record is from RNAcentral. Lineage: Bacteria; Bacillati; Actinomycetota; Actinomycetes.
AGAGUUUGAUUCUGGCUCAUGACGAACGCUGGCGGCGUGCUUAACACAUGCAAGUCGAACGAUGAAGCCUUCGGGUGGAUUAGUGGCGAACGGGUGAGUAACACGUGGGCAAUCUGCCCUGCACUCUGGGACAAGCCCUGGAAACGGGGUCUAAUACCGGAUAAUACUGUUCCCUUCCUGGGGGAUGGUUGAAAGCUCCGGCGGUGCAGGAUGAGCCCGCGGCCUAUCAGCUUGUUGGUGGGGUAAUGGCCUACCAAGGCGACCACGGGUAGCCGGCCUGAGAGGGCGACCGGCCACACUGGGACUGAGACACGGCCCAGACUCCUACGGGAGGCAGCAGUGGGGAAUAUUGCACAAUGGGCGAAAGCCUGAUGCAGCGACGCCGCGUGAGGGAUGACGGCCUUCGGUUGUAACCUCUUUCGGCGGGAAGAAGCGAAAGUGACGGCCCUGCAGAAGAACGCCGGCUACUCGUGCCCCAGCCGCGGUAAUACGUAGGGCGCAAGCGUUGUCCGGAAUUAUUGGGCGUAAGAGCUCGUAUGCGGUUUGUCACGUCGGGUGUGAAAUCCCGGGGCUUACCCCGGGUCUGCAUUCUAUACGGGCAGACUAGAGUGAGGUCGUGAGAUCCAAUCCUGGUGUGCGCUGAAUGCGCAGAUAUCAGGAGGACACCGGUGGCAAUGCGGUCUCUGGGCAUACUGACCUGAAGACCAAACUUGGGGAGCGACAGGAUAGAUACCCUGGUCUCCCGCCGUAACUUUGGGACUAGUGUUAUCACAUUCACGUCUCGGUGCGCACUAAGCAUUAUUUCCCGCCUGGGAGUACGGCGCAGGCAAACUCAAUGAAUUGACGGGGG